GCCUAGGUGACCAGGAGCUGCGCAGGAGGAGCAAAGAAUUUGGACCUGAGGCCGGGAUUUUCAUCAUUGGUACUGCUGCUCCUGGCCGCUUGGGGGCUGAGCUGGCGCAGAGCUUUAGCACCUUAAGUUGCUCAAUUUGAUCUCUGCACUCAGGAACAAGGUAAUUAAGUCAGCCACGAUUUAAGAAAACGGACCUGCCUCGCCUUGUUGCCGUCUUCAGACAGCGCUCCAUCCUAAAUCAUCUGAUAAUGGAAGAGGCUCGGCGCGGCUCUCUACUUGACUGAGGGUGAGUUCAUUAGGUCACAAAUCAGUAAUUGACUCUCAGUGUGUCUCUGCUGGUUUUAUUACAGUAAUGAGGACUAUCUUUUUUUUUCAUAUCCUCUA
This 384-nucleotide long non-coding RNA is filed under the name Equus caballus (horse). RNAcentral describes it as "lncRNA (ENSECAG00000045401.1)". The record is from RNAcentral. Lineage: Eukaryota; Metazoa; Chordata; Mammalia; Perissodactyla; Equidae.